RNAcentral lists this ribosomal RNA (429 nucleotides) under Ravinia derelicta. RNAcentral's name for it is "eukaryotic LSU rRNA". It matches the Rfam family "Eukaryotic large subunit ribosomal RNA", at positions 829 to 1242 of the family's 3401-position model. Lineage: Eukaryota; Metazoa; Arthropoda; Insecta; Diptera; Sarcophagidae. The record is from RNAcentral.
AACUAUACUUGAUCAGGUUGAAGUCAGGGGAAACCCUGAUGGAAGACCGAAACAGUUCUGACGUGCAAAUCGAUUGUCAAAAUUGAGUAUAGGGGCGAAAGACCAAUCGAACCAUCUAGUAGCUGGUUCCCUCCGAAGUUUCCCUCAGGAUAGCUGGUGCAUUUAGAAAUUAUGUAAAAUAAUCUUAUCUGGUAAAGCGAAUGAUUAGAGGCCUUAGGGUCGAAACGACCUUAACCUAUUCUCAAACUUUAAAUGGGUAAGAACCUCACCUUUCUUGGUAUGAAGGUUGUGGUUGUGAUAUAAUGUGCCCAGUGGGCCACUUUUGGUAAGCAGAACUGGCGCUGUGGGAUGAACCAAACGUAAUGUUACGGUGCCCAAAUUAACAACUCAUGCAGAUACCAUGAAAGGCGUUGGUUGCUUAAAACAGCA